UUUUUUCUUUAGAAUAUUAGGUAUAUAAAAAAAAAUUAAAAUAGUUCAAGAAGUUUCUAAGUUCUUCACUGGAAGCAAAUAAUUGUUUAUAGAGUUCUACUCAAGUGCUCUACCAACUAUCAUAUGUUUACUUUGUCUACUGUUAAAAAAUGGUUUUAUUUUUGUAAACUUUAAUUAUUUAAAAGUUGAUCAUUAGCUAAUAGUUUAAAAGCAAAUUAGUUGUCGCAAUCAAGAUUUUGACUAUUUUAAACAAUGCUCUAGAAAAAGCAUCAGCAACAGAUUGGAUUGCAAAAUUGAUUCAGAAAUGGAUGAAUUCUCUCAUGACUUAGAUGAAUCUGAGGCAUCAGCUUAAUUGGUAAAGUCGUCGACUUCGUAAACUGAAGGUCGGAGGUUCGAGUCUUGCCUCUUCCUGGAUAUCUUUUGUUAUUUUACACACGCAUACAGCCGAAUGUUAAUAAAAUAAAACAGUAUUAUCAGAAAAAACUUAUUGCAAAAUUUGCAUUUUAAAACAUAUAAAAGCA
Molecule: non-coding RNA, 521 nt
Organism: Hydra vulgaris (swiftwater hydra)
Lineage: Eukaryota; Metazoa; Cnidaria; Hydrozoa; Anthoathecata; Hydridae
Source: RefSeq, a predicted model, not a curated record